GGUUGCAGGGUAGCAAUAUUUUGCAAUCGGAGUGGCGUAAGGGUGCGUAACACGUGGGUAAUUUGCCGUGAAGUUGGGGAUAACCCCGAGAAAUCGGGGCUAAUACCGAAUGUGGAUGUUUGAGGGCAUCUUCGAACAUCUGAAGCCGGGGACCGCAAGGCCUGGUGCUUCACGAUAAGCCCGCGGCCUAUCAGCUAGUUGGUGAGGUAACGGCUCACCAAGGCUAAGACGGGUAGCUGGUCUGAGAGGACGACCAGCCACACUGGAACUGAGACACGGUCCAGACACCUACGGGUGGCAGCAGUCGAGAAUUUUUCACAAUGGGCGAAAGCCUGAUGGAGCGACGCCGCGUGGGGGAUGAAUGGCUUCGGCCCGUAAACCCCUGUCAUUUGCGAGCAAGGCUUUGCACCUAACACGUGCAAAGUUGAUAGUAGCAGAAGAGGAAGGGACGGCUAACUCUGUGCCAGCAGCCGCGGUAAUACAGAGGUCCCAAGCGUUGUUCGGAUUCACUGGGCGUAAAGGGUGCGUAGGCGGCAGGGUAAGUUUGAUGUGAAAUCCCCGGGCUUAACUCGGGAACUGCAUUGAAUACUAUCCUGCUAGAGGAUCGGAGGGGAGACUGGAAUUCUCGGUGUAGCAGUGAAAUGCGUAGAUAUCGAGAGGAACACCAGUGGCGAAGGCGAGUCUCUGGACGAUUCCUGACGCUGAGGCACGAAAGCUAGGGGAGCAAACAGGAUUAGAUACCCUGGUAGUCCUAGCCGUAAACGGUGCGCACUUGCUGUGAGCGGAAUCGACCCCGUUCGUGGCGAAGCAAACGCGUUAAGUGCGCCGCCUGGGGAGUA
This 839-nucleotide ribosomal RNA is filed under the name uncultured bacterium. RNAcentral's name for it is "bacterial SSU rRNA". It matches the Rfam family "Bacterial small subunit ribosomal RNA", at positions 68 to 882 of the family's 1533-position model. The record is from RNAcentral.